GAUGACCAUGGGGACAACACAAACACCCACAUGGGUGUUAAUAUGGAUGGCUCUGGCGAUUGGUUUAACUGCCUCUCAAAGUGAGGAUACAUCAAAGGCCACAGUUAACAUCAUCCCCUCAAUGUCAAGGAUACCUGAGAUUGCAGGAGUGAGUCCUAUACAUAAUGGCCAAGUCUGCAGUACGUGGGGUAACUACCACUUCAAGACCUUUGAUGGAGACAUCUUUCAGCUCCCCUCCACCUGCAACUAUGUUGUGACCUCACUGUGUAAGAGCAGUUAUGAGGCUUUCAACAUCCAGAUGAGGCGGCAGGUGGUGGACAACCAGCCCACCAUUAGCAAGAUCACCAUGAAGCUGGAUGGUGUAGUGGUGGAGCUAUCCAAGGGUUCCAUUGUUGUUAAUGGGAAUAAUACCACCUUACCAUUCAGCCAGUCUGGUAUUCUCAUUGAAGAGACUCCCUCCUACAUCAAGAUCAAAGCGAAACUGGGAUUGGUAGCCAUAUGGAACCAGGAUGAUUCCUUCUUGGUGGAGAUGGACAUCAAAUUCAGAAAUAAGACCUGUGGUCUAUGUGGAGAUUUUAAUGCAAUUCAGCAAUUUGAUGAGUUCUAUAGCCAUGGUAUGAAAUUGUCCCCUGUCGACUUCGGAAACUUCUGGAAAUUGGAUGGUCCCACUGAAAGCUGUACUGAAAACACACUGCCUUCAAAUCAGAAAUGCCCCAAUCUGAAACCAGUUUGUGAGCAGUUGCUCUCCGGUCCUGCCUUCAGCAGCUGUAAGGACUUGUUGGCCAUCGACUCAUUUGUUGAGGCCUGUGUAUCUGACCUGUGCCACUGUGAUAACAGCACCAACUCAUUCUGCCUGUGCAACACCAUCUCAGAGUACUCCCGUCAGUGUGUUCAUGCAGGGGGGAAGCCCAAACAAUGGAGGACUGAACAGUUCUGCUAUAAGACAUGCCCCUUCAACAUGGAGUACCAGGAGUGUGGAAACCCCUGUGUUGACACCUGCUCCAACCCUGAGAGAGGCCAGCUGUGUGAGGACCACUGCUCAGAUGGCUGCUUUUGUCCUCCAGGAACCGUUUUUGAUGACGUCAACAAGAACGGUUGUAUCGCCUUGAGUCAAUGCUCCUGCCGCCACAAUGGAAAAACCUACGCACCCGGAGAGUCUUAUUCAAGCACUUGUAAAGAUUGUUCUUGUGCUGGUGGUCAGUGGGCCUGUACAGACAAGGACUGUCCUGGCACCUGUGCUGUGGAGGGAGGAUCCCACAUCAACACCUACGAUGGAAAAACCUACACCUUCCACGGGGACUGCUCUUAUGUUCUGACCAAGGACUGUGAUGGGAUGCAAUUCACUGUACUGGGUGAUCUGGUGCAGUGUGGGCUUUCUGACAGUGAGACUUGUCUAAAGGCUGUUACCCUGUCCCUCUCAGAAGGAGCCACUGUGAUCAACAUACAACCCAAUGGAAAAGCCUUUGUAAAUGGAAUCUAUUCUCAGCUUCCCUUUUCUGCUGCUGGAGUAACUAUUUUCAGAGCCUCCUCAUUUUUCGUCAUUGUCCAGACCACCUUUGGCCUCCAGUUGGAAAUCCAACUCUCACCAAUCAUGCAGGUCUAUAUUGCUGCAAGCACCGUUUGGCAGCAGAGAACUUGCGGUCUUUGUGGAAACUUCAACAACAACCAAGGAGAUGAUUUCAAGGUCCUGAGCGGAGUGACUGAGGGCACAGCCAUUGGUUUUGCAAACACCUGGAAAACACGAGCCAGCUGCCCAGACAUCAAGAGUAGCUUUGAAAGCCCCUGCAGUUUAAGUCUUGACAAUGAGAAAUAUGCCCAGCACUGGUGCUCUCAGCUGGCUGAUCCUAAAGGGUUGUUUGCUAAAUGCCACACAGCAAUAAGCCCAGACAUGUACAGAGAAAACUGCAUGUAUGACAGCUGUAACUGUGAGAAAAGUGAGGACUGCAUGUGUGCUGCCGUCUCCUCUUAUGUCCACGCUUGUGCUGCCGAGGGUAUCCAGCUCACUGGCUGGAGAGACACUAUCUGCAACAAAUACUCCACCUCGUGCCCUAGCACCAUGGUCUACAGCUACAGCAUAAAAAGCAGUGAUCGCUCCUGCCGCUGCUACAGCGACUCUGACUUUACCUGUUCAAUCACCUUCGAGCCUGUGGAUGGGUGUGUCUGUUCUGAGGGAACCUACCUGGAUGAUGAGGGCAAGUGUGUUCCACCAACCAGCUGCCCUUGUUAUUACAAGGGCUCAGUGGUCUCCCCUGGAGAGGUCAUCAGCAAGGAUGGAACCAUGUGCACCUGCAAGGAGGGAAAACUCCGUUGCAUUGGAGAUUCACCCAAUCAGCCAUCAUGUGUUGCACCAAUGGUUUUCUUCAACUGCUCCAAUGCAAGCCCAGGAGUGAGAGGGUUAGAGUGUCAGAAGAGCUGCAACAUUCUGGAUAUGGCCUGUAUCAGCACAGAGUGCAUAUCAGGCUGUAUGUGUCCCUCUGGACUGGUAUCCGAUGGAAAAGGAGGCUGCAUCAAGCCAGACCUUUGUCCUUGUUCUCACAAUGGAGCUACUUACCAACCAGGAGACGGAAUCAAGGUCGACUGCAAUACCUGCACUUGUAAAGACAGAAAAUGGCAGUGCACAACUAACCUGUGCCUUGGAACCUGUGCCAUUUAUGGAGAUGGACACUACAUUACUUUUGAUGGGAAACGAUUCACUUUCGAAGGAGACUGUGAAUACACACUUACAAAGGACUACUAUGGUAGCAACAAUGCCAACGGCAGCUUCAGAGUCAUCACUGAGAACAUCCCUUGUGGAACGACUGGCACCACCUGCUCCAAGGCCAUUAAGCUCUUCCUGGGGAACAAUGAACUAAUUCUGACAGAAGGGAACUACCAAGUCGUUGAGAGAAAUACAGGGGAGGCGGUUCCUUACCAGAUUCGCACAAUGGGCAUCUACCUUGUGAUUGAAGCCAAUAAUGGGUUGAUUCUCAUGUGGGACAGGAAAACAAGCAUGUUCAUCAAACUGAACCCACAGUUCAAGGGACAUGUCUGUGGUCUGUGUGGAAACUAUGAUGGCAAUGCAAACAAUGACUUCACUACCAGGAGCCAGGCAGUAGUUGUCAACCCUCUAGACUUUGGAAACAGCUGGAAAGUCUCUGCAAGCUGCCCCGAUGCAAAGAACAAAAGGAGCCCCUGUACUGCCAACCCUUACAGGCAGUCUUGGUCACAGAAGCAGUGCAGCAUCAUACAGAGCAAAGUUUUCACAGACUGCCAUUCUAAAGUGGACCCCUCUCCUUUCUACGAUGCUUGUGUGACAGACUCGUGUGCUUGCGACAGUGGUGGAGACUGUGAGUGUUUUUGUACCGCUGUGGCAGCUUAUGCAGAGGCCUGUAAUGAGGCUGGAGCCUGCAUAGCCUGGAGAAGCCCACAAAUCUGCCCACUGUUCUGUGAUUACUACAACCCUACUGGAGAAUGUGAGUGGCACUACAAGGCAUGUGGAGCUCAGUGUAUGAAGACCUGCAGGAAUCCCUCCGGGAGCUGCUCAACUCAGAUACCACCUCUUGAAGGUUGCUAUCCAAAAUGUCCUCCUGCUCAACCCUUCUUUGAUGAAGAUAUAAUGAAGUGUGUGGAGAAGGAGCAGUGUGGCUGCUAUGGCAGAGAUGGAAAACACUACAAUAAUGGAGAAAAAGUACCGACCACAGAAAACUGCCAGACAUGCUAUUGUAAUUCUGUGACAGUGGACUGCAAAUACGAUGUACAAGCUUGCACUUGCACCUACAAUGGGAACAAAUACCCCAAUGGGCAUAUCAUCUAUCACACCACAAAUGGGCACGGCAGUUGUAUCACAGCCAUCUGUGGGAAGAAUGGAACCACUCAGAGGGACAUUUACCCAUGUUCAACUCCAACUCCAACUUUAACUCCAUCUGUUCCUAACUCUACUCCAUCCUCUACAGUGACAACAACUGUCUUUACUUUCUCAACACCCACAACUGCGCCAACCACAACUUCAACAGAGACAACAGUGUCUCCAACAACCUUUACUACUACAUGUGGAUAUCCAUGUGUGUGGUCACAGUGGUUUGAUACCACAUUCCCUACACUUGGUACUCCAGGAGGAGACUCUGAAACCUACAACAACAUAAGAGCAGAGGGACACGAUAUAUGUGAGAAGCCAAGCAAGAUCCAAUGCAGAGCCGAGAAGUACCCAAAUGUUAGCAUAAGCCAAGUAGGCCAAGUGGUGCAGUGUAAUGUAGCAGAAGGGUUGACUUGCAGAAAUGAAGACCAGUCAGGAAAAUUCCCACUGUGCUUUAACUACCAAGUUCGAGUCCUCUGCUGUGAUGAAGAUCUUUGUACAUCUAAGCCUACAACCAUUUCACCAACAACUACAAGACCACCUGUUACAACAACAACUACAAACACAACCACCUCCACUAUAUCAACGACCACGUUGAAUACAAAACCCCCUAACUGCACAGUUUGUGAGUGGUCACCUUGGUAUAAUGUGGACUAUCCUCAAUUUGGUCCUGGGGGUGGUGACAAUGAAUCAAUUAAAAAGAUUCUAGAAUCUGGAAAACAUAUUUGUGAAAAACCAGUGGAUGUUAUGUGCCAAGCAGUGCGAUAUCCAGGGAUCCCAUUGUCUGAAUUAGGACAGAAGGUAGAAUGUAAUACAAAGGUUGGAUUAAUAUGCCAGAACAAAGAUCAAGGUAUUCCUCCAAUAUGCCUUGACUAUGAAAUUAAGGUGAAGUGUUGCAAGACUGUGAAAUGUCACACUACAACACCAGUCCAAACAACUACACCUACUGUCACAACAACAACAAUGUCAGCAUCCACAUUACCUACAACAACAAGUAAACCAACAACAAUCACUACUCCUCCAACCUCAACUCUACCUCUAACCACAACUACAACUCCUACCACUACUCCAACACCAAAUACCACAAUCUUAACAUCGACUGCACCACCUACCACAUCAACAACAGUUACUCCCAUCACUACUCCAACACCCACGACAAAGACCUCAACAUCGACAGGUACAUCGACAACAAAAACAACAACUCACACUCCCAGCCCUAGUACAACUCCAACCACUACUCCUUCAUCAACCUCAACAGGAGUAACACCUACCCAAUGCAGUGGUGAAGAAAAAUGUGUGUGGUCAGACUGGAUCAACCUUGGUCAGCCAACGUCUGGCUCUAAAGGUGGAGAUAAUGAAUCCAUUAAGAACAUCAUUGCUGCUGGUUAUCACAUUUGCUCAGCUCCAGAGGCAGUUGAAUGUAGAGCAAAACAAUUCCCUGGACUUCAGAUCUCUCAGCUUGGCCAAGAUGUGACUUGCAAUCCAUCUGUUGGACUGAUUUGUCAAAACAAUAAGCAAGGUCCUCAGCAAAAGUGCUUCGAUUACGAGAUUCGAGUGAAAUGUUGUCAAUGUGGAACCACAACACACAUUCCAACCACCGCAAUAACAACAGUUCCUCUAGUCACUACUCCUACACCCACUACUACAACCUCAACAUCGACAGCUCCACCUACAACAAAAACAACAACUCAGACUCCCAGCCCUAGUACAACUCCAACCACUACUCCUACAUCACCCUCAACAGGAGUAACACCUACCCAAUGCAGUGGUGAAGAAACAUGUGUGUGGUCAGACUGGAUCAACCUUGGUCAGCCAACGUCUGGCUCUAAAGGUGGAGAUAAUGAAUCCAUUAAGAACAUCAUUGCUGCUGGUUAUCACAUUUGCUCAGCUCCAGAGGCAGUUGAAUGUAGAGCAAAACAAUUCCCUGGACUUCAGAUCUCUCAGCUUGGCCAAUACGUGACUUGCAAUCCAUCCGUUGGACUAGUUUGUCAAAACAAUGAGCAAGGUCCUCAGCAAAAGUGCUUCGAUUACGAGAUUCGAGUGAAAUGUUGUCAAUGUGGAACCACAACACACAUCCCAACCACCGCAACAACAACAGUUCCUCUCGUCACUACUCCUACACCCACUACUACAACCUCAACAUCGACAGCUCCACCUACAACAAAAACAACAACUCAGACUCCCAGCCCUAGUACAACUCCAACCACUACUCCUACAUCACCCGCAACAGGAGUAACACCUACCCAAUGCAGUGGUGAAGAAACAUGUGUGUGGUCAGACUGGAUCAACCUUGGUCAGCCAACGUCUGGCUCUAAAGGUGGAGAUAAUGAAUCCAUUAAGAACAUCAUUGCUGCUGGUUAUCACAUUUGCUCAGCUCCAGAGGCAGUUGAAUGUAGAGCAAAACAAUUCCCUGGACUUCAGAUCUCUCAGCUUGGCCAAGAUGUGACUUGCAAUCCAUCCGUUGGACUAGUUUGUCAAAACAAUGAGCAAGGUCUUCAGCAAAAGUGCUUCGAUUAUGAGAUUCGAGUGAAAUGUUGUCAAUGUGGAACCACAACACACAUCCCAACCACCGCAACAACAACAGUUCCUCUCGUCACUACUCCUACUCCUACACCCACUACUACAACCUCAACAUCGACAGCUCCACCUACAACAAAAACAACAACUCAGACUCCCAGCCCUAGUACAACUCCAACCACUACUCCUACAUCAACUUCAACAGGAGUAACACCUACCCAAUGCAGUGGUGAAGAAACAUGUGUGUGGUCAGACUGGAUCAACCUUGGUCAGCCAACGUCUGGCUCUGAAGGUGGAGAUAAUGAAUCCAUUAACAACAUCAUUGCUGCUGGUUAUCACAUUUGCUCAGCUCCAGAGGCAGUUGAAUGUAGAGCAAAACAAUUCCCUGGACUUCAGAUCUCUCAGCUUGGCCAAGAUGUGACUUGCAAUCCAUCUGUUGGACUGAUUUGUCAAAACAAUAAGCAAGGUCCUCAGCAAAAGUGCUUCGAUUACGAGAUUCGAGUGAAAUGUUGUCAAUGUGGAACCACAACACACAUCCCAACCACCGCAACAACAACAGUUCCUCUCGUCACUACUCCUACACCCACUACUACAACCUCAACAUCGACAGCUCCACCUACAACAAAAACAACAACUCAGACUCCCAGCCCUAGUACAACUCCAACCACUACUCCUACAUCAACUUCAACAGGAGUAACACCUACCCAAUGCAGUGGUGAAGAAACAUGUGUGUGGUCAGACUGGAUCAACCUUGGUCAGCCAACGUCUGGCUCUAAAGGUGGAGAUAAUGAAUCCAUUAAGAACAUCAUUGCUGCUGGUUAUCACAUUUGCUCAGCUCCAGAGGCAGUUGAAUGUAGAGCAAAACAAUUCCCUGGACUUCAGAUCUCUCAGCUUGGCCAAGACGUGACUUGCAAUCCAUCCGUUGGACUAGUUUGUCAAAACAAUGAGCAAGGUCUUCAGCAAAAGUGCUUCGAUUAUGAGAUUCGAGUGAAAUGUUGUCAAUGUGGAACCACAACACACAUCCCAACCACCGAAACAACAACAGUUCCUCACAUCACUACUCCUACACCCACUACUACAACCUCAACAUCGACAGCUCCACCUACAACAAUAACAACAACUCAGACUCCCAGCCCUAGUACAACUCCAACCACUACUCCUACAUCACCCUCAACAGGAGUAACACCUACCCAAUGCAGUGGUGAAGAAACAUGUGUGUGGUCAGACUGGAUCAACCUUGGUCAGCCAACGUCUGGCUCUAAAGGUGGAGAUAAUGAAUCCAUUAAGAACAUCAUUGCUGCUGGUUAUCACAUUUGCUCAGCUCCAGAGGCAGUUGAAUGUAGAGCAAAACAAUUCCCUGGACUUCAGAUCUCUCAGCUUGGCCAAGAUGUGACUUGCAAUCCAUCUGUUGGACUGAUUUGUCAAAACAAUAAGCAAGGUCCUCAGCAAAAGUGCUUCGAUUACGAGAUUCGAGUGAAAUGUUGUCAAUGUGGAACCACAACACACAUCCCAACCAACGCAACAACAACAGUUCCUCUCGUCACUACUCCUACACCCACUACUACAACCUCAACAUCGACAGCUCCACCUACAACAAAAACAACAACUCAGACUCCCAGCCCUAGUACAACUCCAACCACUACUCCUACAUCAACUUCAACAGGAGUAACACCUACCCAAUGCAGUGGUGAAGAAACAUGUGUGUGGUCAGACUGGAUCAACCUUGGUCAGCCAACGUCUGGCUCUAAAGGUGGAGAUAAUGAAUCCAUUAAGAACAUCAUUGCUGCUGGUUAUCACAUUUGCUCAGCUCCAGAGGCAGUUGAAUGUAGAGCAAAACAAUUCCCUGGACUUCAGAUCUCUCAGCUUGGCCAAGACGUGACUUGCAAUCCAUCCGUUGGACUAGUUUGUCAAAACAAUGAGCAAGGUCUUCAGCAAAAGUGCUUCGAUUAUGAGAUUCGAGUGAAAUGUUGUCAAUGUGGAACCACAACACACAUCCCAACCACCGAAACAACAACAGUUCCUCACAUCACUACUCCUACACCCACUACUAUAACCUCAACAUCGACAGCUCCACCUACAACAAUAACAACAACUCAGACUCCCAGCCCUAGUACAACUCCAACCACUACUCCUACAUCAACCUCAACAGGAGUAACACCUACCCAAUGCCGUGGUGAAGAAACAUGUGUGUGGUCAGACUGGAUCAACCUUGGUCAGCCAACGUCUGGCUCUAAAGGUGGAGAUAAUGAAUCCAUUAAGAACAUCAUUGCUGCUGGUUAUCACAUUUGCUCAGCUCCAGAGGCAGUUGAAUGUAGAGCAAAACAAUUCCCUGGACUUCAGAUCUCUCAGCUUGGCCAAUACGUGACUUGCAAUCCAUCCGUAGGACUAGUUUGUCAAAACAAUGAGCAAGGUCUUCAGCAAAAGUGCUUCGAUUACGAGAUUCGAGUGAAAUGUUGUCAAUGUGGAACCACAACACACAUCCCAACCACCACCACAUCAACGACAGGUCCUCACAUCACUACUCCUACACCCACUACUACAACCUCAACGUCAACAGUUCCAUCUACAACAAAAACAACAACUCUGCCUCCCACCACUACUAUUAUUCCUACAACUCCUUUUUUUGUAAUAACUAGUGAAACAGCGAAACCAUCGAUUCCAGUCACAAUACACCAUCAUUGUUCUUCUUGCUAUUUCAAUCAUACUGAUUUCCUCAUUGGCUCAAUUGUUUAUAAUGUCUCUGACCAUGAUGGAUGGUGCUACAUUGGUCUCUGCAACAAGACUUGUGAAAUAGAAACACAUUUGACCAGCUGUGGUACAUCAACUACCCCAGUUACUCCUACUUCACCAACCACUUCACAGCCCCAACAACAACAGUUCCACAUGUAACAUAUCCAUCUGAGAAGAACUGUGACCAUGACCAUCCUCCAAGACAGAAUGGUGACAGCUGGAAACAUAACCAAUGCACCAACGGAACAUGCGCCAACGGGAAAGUUAUUUAUGAGCAUGUACAUUGUGAGACUCCGAAGCCUAUAGCAUGUGAAAAUAACUAUCCUCCAAUCAAAGUGUAUGACGAAUCUGGAUGCUGUUUCCACUAUGAGUGUCAAUGUAUCUGCUAUGGUUGGGGAGACCCUCACUAUGUCACCUUUGAUGGAACAUACUAUGGCUUCCAAGGAAAUUGUUCAG
Oncorhynchus keta (chum salmon) is the source of this 9535-nucleotide RNA transcript. It is a transcript of the gene named mucin-5AC-like, with no coding region annotated. The record is from RefSeq and is a predicted model, not a curated record. Lineage: Eukaryota; Metazoa; Chordata; Actinopteri; Salmoniformes; Salmonidae. The transcript is spliced from 37 exons.